RNAcentral lists this ribosomal RNA (330 nucleotides) under uncultured eukaryote. Its description in RNAcentral is "partial 18S ribosomal RNA". It matches the Rfam family "Eukaryotic small subunit ribosomal RNA", at positions 1470 to 1796 of the family's 1831-position model. The record is from RNAcentral.
CCCUUAGAUGUUCUGGGCCGCACGCGCGCUACACUGACGUACUCAUCGAGCUUACAACCUUGCCACGAAAGGGCUGGGUAAACUUUGAAAAUACGUCGUGAUGGGGAUAGAUGAUUGCAAUUAUUCAUCUUCAACGAGGAAUUCCUAGUAGACGCAAGUCAUCAACUUGCAUCGAUUACGUCCCUGCCCUUUGUACACACCGCCCGUCGCUACUACCGAUUGAAUGGUUUAAUGAGUAUCAUGGACUGCUGCGUGAGUGGAGUUUUCUCUGUUUGCGCAAGUGGAAAGUGCCGCGAAUUUGAUCAUUUAGAGGAAGUAAAAGUCGUAACA